GACGAACGCUGGCGGCGUGCUUAACACAUGCAAGUCGAACGGAAAGGCCCUGCUUUUGUGGGGUGCUCGAGUGGCGAACGGGUGAGUAACACGUGAGUAACCUGCCCUUGACUUUGGGAUAACUUCAGGAAACUGGGGCUAAUACCGGAUAGGAGCUCCUGCUGCAUGGUGGGGGUUGGAAAGUUUCGGCGGUUGGGGAUGGACUCGCGGCUUAUCAGCUUGUUGGUGGGGUAGUGGCUUCCCAAGGCUUUGACGGUAGCCGGCCUGAGGGGGUGACCGGCCACAUUGGGACUGAGAUACGGCCCAGACUCCUACGGGAGGCAGCAGUGGGGAAUAUUGCACAAUGGGCGGAAGCCUGAUGCAGCAACGCCGCGUGCGGGAUGACGGCCUUCGGGUUGUAAACCGCUUUCGCCUGUGACGAAGCGUGAGUGACGGUAAUGGGUAAAGAAGCACCGGCUAACUACGUG
This 467-nucleotide ribosomal RNA is filed under the name uncultured bacterium. RNAcentral's name for it is "partial 16S ribosomal RNA". It matches the Rfam family "Bacterial small subunit ribosomal RNA", at positions 28 to 507 of the family's 1533-position model. The record is from RNAcentral.